This is a non-coding RNA of Musa acuminata subsp. malaccensis (wild Malaysian banana), 1586 nucleotides long. The record is from RefSeq and is a predicted model, not a curated record. NCBI's taxonomy places the organism in Eukaryota, Viridiplantae, Streptophyta, Magnoliopsida, Zingiberales, Musaceae.
CACGGCGCCUUGCACGUAUUAGUGAGUGUUGAGCUGGAGUCGAGAGCGAUAGCGACUGCGUCAAGGAAAUGGUACAAUGAUUCCUAAUUCGCCUGUCUUCAUGCUCAGUAAACGGGCACAAGGAAGCUAUUCCAAGGACAAUGGCACGGCGAUGACUUGAGAGCUGACGGCGUAGCAUGCGGAUAUAUUGGUUGAAGAGCCAAGAAAGAAACGAGUGUGGGAACAGAGACCACUGUACAGAAUUGCCCUACUUCUCCUCCUGGAAGUUUCUGGCUCGGAAAAGGGGGGGUGUGGUGGUCUUCGAAGACGUACAGGGGAGGCAUGUCGGCCACGGGCUGAUGAUUAAGCAGACGCACGCUACCUGCUCGAUAAAAUGACUUGCUUCCUUGAGCUGUAUCCAGAAAUCAGGAGGCGACGGUCAAAGAGGAGUUGAUCGAAGCUUGUCCUGCCGGAAACAUGGGCGGCUGGUACAAGUGAGGAAACGAGGAGGAGGAGAUUGAAAUUGACGAGCUCUUGAGCUGGUGGAUUGCUUGCGUUCGACUAGCAAAUGAGGAGGUCAGCAAAAACAGUUUGCUGUGUGUUGUCUACUACAAGUACGGGGAUGGCGAAGACUUUGUGUCCCGACACUCGGAAGAAGUGGCAGCUUAUCAUUGGGAGACAGCACGCCUUGACUGCUUAGUUUUCUUCUAUUGGAGAUCGGCUAUUCUCCCAAUGGGCUGUAAAAGUUUGACAGGAGGCUUUAAGCUUUCUGUCGGUGCCAUUCUGCAGCCUAAAAGAAGAAUCACCAUAGCCAUUCAGCUAAGUUAUCAGAUUACCAUCAUUAUCAUUAUGUAAUGUCCACUUGAUUCUGUUCUAUCAUUGUCUGCUUUUGGAACCAUUAGGUUUUAGUUGAUGAUACAUGGGUUUUAUCUGUCAAGUGAUUGAAUCCUUGCCCAAACUAUCCUUUUCAGGCAAAGAUAAGCCAGGGAACAACACAUAUGCUACUUUGAUGUAUUCUGUUCCUGUCUCCAUUCAUCUCCCACCAGUGAGUAGCUUCUGCCCUCCAUCUUGCAGAGUAAUUGCAGCCAACCCUGUUGGCCUACACAAGGUAGAAAGCAAAGAUCCCAAUGAUCCAGACUUUUAAAAGAGGUUCGAAAAGCAUGGUAAUUUAAUGUUUGGAGGUACAGAUCUGCAAGCUCUGUUCCAUUAUGUUCUUCAGCUCCUUCAGUGUAGGAAUCAGUGAGUUUGAAAUGCCAAGAAAAAUGAAGUCACAUAUGCAUUAAUCAACCCUUUUCCUGAGGGAUGACUUUGUGGUAUGAAAAACCAGUAUUGCAAGUACAUAGGUUUAACUGGUAGGGAAUCCAAUGAAUUGGGUUGGAUCAUGUGCAAUAUAAUUUGAACUCAGAGAUCCUGAUACUGUACUUACUGUGUGCAUGGGGACCUCAGGUAAACUGCAUUAAAUUUGUGUAGCCUCACUAACUUCAAUCUUAUCCAACAAUUUAUUCUUUAAUAUUAAUGCAGGAUAAUUAAAACUGUAAGAUCUGUUUGAUCAAAAUGGAUUUUGACUAUUAGGAAGCAAAUGAUGACUUGGAUAAGCUUCAGAUUUG